RNAcentral lists this ribosomal RNA (497 nucleotides) under uncultured bacterium. Its description in RNAcentral is "partial 16S ribosomal RNA". It matches the Rfam family "Bacterial small subunit ribosomal RNA", at positions 28 to 507 of the family's 1533-position model. The record is from RNAcentral.
GAUGAACGCUGGCGGCGUGCCUAAUACAUGCCAGUCGAGCGAACAGACGAGGAGCUUGCUCCUCUGACGUUAGCGGCGGACGGGUGAGUAACACGUGGAUAACCUACCUAUAAGACUGGGAUAACUUCGGGAAACCGGAGCUAAUACCGGAUAAUAUAUUGAACCGCAUGGUUCAAUAGUGAAAGACGGUUUUGCUGUCACUUAUAGAUGGAUCCGCGCCGCAUUAGCUAGUUGGUAAGGUAACGGCUUACCAAGGCAACGAUGCGUAGCCGAACUGAGAGGGUGAUCGGCCACACUGGAACUGAGACACGGUCCAGACUCCUAAGGGAGGCAGCAGUAGGGAAUCUUCCGCAAUGGGCGAAAGCCUGACGGAGCAACGCCGCGUGAGUGAUGAAGGUCUUCGGAUCGUAAAACUCUGUUAUUAGGGAAGAACAAAUGUGUAAGUAACUAUGCACGUCUUGACGGUACCUAAUCAGAAAGCCACGGCUAACUACGUG